CGCUUGAGCAAUGGCGUGACGCAGGAGGAUAGGGUGAGCGGCCUAUUGGAUGGCCGUCUAAGCAGUAAGUGUGGUGUGUAGGCAAAUCCGCACACCAAUAAGCACAAGCUGUGAUGGCGAGGGAAAUUUAAGUACCGAAGUCCCUGAUUUCACACUGCCAAGAAAAGCGUCUAGCGAGGAACAAGGUGCCCGUACCGCAAACCGACACAGGUAGGCGAGGAGAGA
Molecule: ribosomal RNA, 225 nt
Filed under: Brevibacillus laterosporus
Lineage: Bacteria; Bacillati; Bacillota; Bacilli; Caryophanales; Paenibacillaceae
Description: partial 23S ribosomal RNA
Rfam family: Bacterial large subunit ribosomal RNA
Source: RNAcentral